RNAcentral lists this ribosomal RNA (460 nucleotides) under uncultured bacterium. RNAcentral describes it as "partial 16S ribosomal RNA". It matches the Rfam family "Bacterial small subunit ribosomal RNA", at positions 338 to 795 of the family's 1533-position model. The record is from RNAcentral.
CCUACGGGAGGCAGCAGUGAGGAAUAUUGGUCAAUGGACGAGAGUCUGAACCAGCCAAGUAGCGUGAAGGAUGACUGCCCUAUGGGUUGUAAACUUCUUUUAUAAAGGAAUAAAACGAGGCACGUGUGCCUUUUUGCAUGUACUUUAUGAAUAAGGAUCGGCUAACUCCGUGCCAGCACCCGCGGUAAUACGGAGGUUCCGAGCGUUAUCCGGAUUUAUUGGGUUUAAAGGGAGCGUAGAUGGGUUGUUAAGUCAGUUGUGAAAGUUUGCGGCUCAACCGUAAAAUUGCAAUUGAUACUGGCAGUCUUGAGUACAGUUGAGGUAAGCGGAAUGCGUGGUGUAGCGGUGAAAUGCUUAGAUAUCACGAAGAACCCCGAUGGCGAAGGCAGCUUACUAAACUGUGACUGACAUUGAUGCUCGAAAGUGUGGGGAUCAAACAGGAUUAGAUACCCUUGUAGUC